This 203-nucleotide ribosomal RNA is filed under the name uncultured bacterium. RNAcentral describes it as "partial 16S ribosomal RNA". It matches the Rfam family "Bacterial small subunit ribosomal RNA", at positions 114 to 334 of the family's 1533-position model. The record is from RNAcentral.
CACGUGAGUACCUGCCCCUGAGUCCGGAACAACCACUGGAAACGGUGGCUAAUGCCGGAUGUGACCAUGGUUAAAGCCUUCGGGCGCUCGGGGAUGGGCUCGCGGCGGAUUAGGUAGUUGGCGGGGUAAAGGCCCACCAAGCCGACGAUCCGUAGCUGGCCUGAGAGGGUGGUCAGCCACACUGGGACUGAGACACGGCCCAG